Molecule: ribosomal RNA, 503 nt
Filed under: uncultured Pseudacidovorax sp.
Lineage: Bacteria; Pseudomonadati; Pseudomonadota; Betaproteobacteria; Burkholderiales; Comamonadaceae
Description: bacterial SSU rRNA
Rfam family: Bacterial small subunit ribosomal RNA
Source: RNAcentral
AGAGUUUGAUCCUGGCUCAGAUUGAACGCUGGCGGCAUGCCUUACACAUGCAAGUCGAACGGUAACAGGCCGCAAGGUGCUGACGAGUGGCGAACGGGUGAGUAAUACAUCGGAACGUGCCCGAUCGUGGGGGAUAACGCAGCGAAAGCUGUGCUAAUACCGCAUACGAUCUACGGAUGAAAGCCGGGGGAUCGCAAGACCUCGCGCGGACGGAGCGGCCGAUGGCAGAUUAGGUAGUUGGUGGGGUAAAGGCCUACCAAGCCGACGAUCUGUAGCUGGUCUGAGAGGACGACCAGCCACACUGGGACUGAGACACGGCCCAGACUCCUACGGGAGGCAGCAGUGGGGAAUUUUGGACAAUGGGCGCAAGCCUGAUCCAGCCAUGCCGCGUGCAGGAUGAAGGCCUUCGGGUUGUAAACUGCUUUUGUACGGAACGAAAAGGUUUCUUUUAAUACAGGGAACUGAUGACGGUACCGUAAGAAUAAGCACCGGCUAACUACGUG